RNAcentral lists this ribosomal RNA (426 nucleotides) under uncultured soil bacterium. Its description in RNAcentral is "bacterial SSU rRNA". It matches the Rfam family "Bacterial small subunit ribosomal RNA", at positions 26 to 430 of the family's 1533-position model. The record is from RNAcentral.
AGAUUGAACGCUGGCGGCAGGCCUAACACAUGCAAGUCGAGCGGCAGCACGGGUACUUGUACCUGGUGGCGAGCGGCGGACGGGUGAGUAAUGCCUAGGAAUCUGCCUGGUAGUGGGGGAUAACGCUCGGAAACGGACGCUAAUACCGCAUACGUCCUACGGGAGAAAGCGAGGGGUACCUUCGGGCCUUGCGCUAUCAGAUGAGCCUAGGUCGGAUUAGCUAGUUGGUGAGGUAAUGGCUCACCAAGGCGACGAUCCGUAACUGGUCUGAGAGGAUGAUCAGUCACACUGGAACUGACGACACGGUCCAGACCUACCGUACGGGAGGCAGCAGUAGGGGAAUAGUUGGACAAGUGGGACGAAAGCCUAGGAUACCAGCCAUCGGACCGCGUAGUGUAGAAAGUAGGUCUUACGGAUUAGGUAAAG